This 676-nucleotide ribosomal RNA is filed under the name Cystobasidium slooffiae. Its description in RNAcentral is "eukaryotic LSU rRNA". It matches the Rfam family "Eukaryotic large subunit ribosomal RNA", at positions 1 to 663 of the family's 3401-position model. Lineage: Eukaryota; Fungi; Basidiomycota; Cystobasidiomycetes; Cystobasidiales; Cystobasidiaceae. The record is from RNAcentral.
UAGACCUCAAAUCAGUCAGGACUACCCGCUGAACUUAAGCAUAUCAAUAAGCGGAGGAAAAGAAACUAACAAGGAUUCCCCUAGUAACGGCGAGUGAAGUGGGAAAAGCUCAACUUUGAAAUCUGGCACCUUCGGUGUCCGAGUUGUAGUCUCAAGAAGUGUUUUCUGUGCUGGUCCAUGUAUGAGUCUGUUGGAACACAGCGUCAUAGAGGGUGACAACCCCGUUCAUGACAUGGAUACCAGUGCUUUGUGAUACACUCUCGAAGAGUCGAGUUGUUUGGGAAUGCAGCUCAAAUUGGGUGGUAAAUUCCAUCUAAAGCUAAAUAUUGGCGAGAGACCGAUAGCAAACAAGUACCGUGAGGGAAAGAUGAAAAGCACUUUGGAAAGAGAGUUAACAGUACGUGAAAUUGUUGAAAGGGAAACGAUUGAAGUCAGACGUGCGUGAUGCGGUUCAGCACUGGUUCGCCAGUGUGUAUUCCGUAUCUUUGCAGGCCAACAUCAGUUUCGGUAGUCGGAUAAAGGUUAGUUGAAUGUGGCACCUUCGGGUGUGUUAUAGCUUCUAACUGAAUACGAUUUCUGGGACUGAGGAACGCAGCGCGCCGCAAGGCAAAGGUUCCGACCUUUUCGCGCUUAGGAUGUUGGUGAAAUGGCUUUAAACGACCCGUCUUGAAACACG